UGCCCAACAGCAGGAACUGAGCUCUGGCUGCUUCAUGCUUCUGCUGGCUAUAGCUGUGAUUGCUCCUGGAUCUGCUGUGUCUCCAGACUUGCCCUUACUUUCCUGCUGGCUUCCUGGAUCUGAUUACUGGCUUCCUGGCAGUUGCUCUUGCUCAGACUACUAGGCAUGAUUGCCUGCAUUCCAGUUUGUGAUGCUAUUGAUUUGGGCUUAUCCAUCUUAAGUACUUAUAUGGCCCCUAUUGCUGUGGUGUGUGAGUACCUCACAAUCUUUUAAGAUCUCAAGUUGCAUUUGUGUGGCGUACUGAUUUUUUUCAUUCGGCUCACUUAAGUGAAAGAAUCGUAUGUUUAUGACUCUAAGAAGAGUGAUAAACAGAGUAGACCGAACAUUCAGAAAACAACCUGAAAGAGGACUCAAAAAAAGAGCCUAAGUGUCCAAAAGAAACAAGAACCUACACAAUGCUGCAAGUACAUGUACAAUAUGUGAGCUUGGACUCAAACCAGGUGCAAGAUUACUUUGCACAUCAUGCAGAACUCCAGAGGAGAUACAGCAAGCAAGCAAUGGGAGAAGGUGUGUUUCUGAAACAAGGAUUCAGCAUCUUGACAAGAACACUUCCCUUCCCUUCAGGAAAACCAUAGAAUGUUUGUUGGAUUUUAAAAUCCUCCUUUUUUUAUUAAAGCAGUCCUUUUCUCUGAGGUUUUCAUCCUGCCACAAUAGGUUGGUUAUAUACACUUGUAAAUAUACGCAUUGGAUCUGAAGCUCUAACUAUUGUUUUUCAUCUGAAAAGGAUAGCUUUUUCAAAACCGCUUCUAUUCUGUGCAAUGUAAAGUAGCCCUACAUUUAUGUCUUAAUAUUUUGGAGUUCAUGCCAGAGAUUUUUAUUUGCUUUUAGCCAGGAUUUGUUCAGUUUAAAGCCUAAAUAGUAAUAUAUGUUAAUGGACUCCAAGGGGUUUUGGGUCAGGCCCAAAAACAUAACUAUGAAGCAUAGUAAUUUUUGCACAAAAUGUAUAGUUCUGUAGCAUUUUAGUUGUAUAAUAUGUCUCUUUAAAUAACCUCUGAUUUGGGGGAAAUAAGCAAUUUAGGCUCCAGUUUUCUCUUUGAUAACCCCAAAUAUCUUUUCAUCUUCAAAAAAAAAAAUUUUGGUUAAACAGGAUUCUUAUCAAAUUUGGGAUCAACUACCUAAAUGUACAGUUGACAUUCCUAUUUUGUGAAGGUCUUAGACAAAAGUGAAUUAAAGAAGUUUAUAUUUUUCAUAUUAAACAUGCUGCAUGGAUUAACAAUCUGGAACAUGGUUAAUUGAUGGUUGUGUUUAUGGAGUUUUACAUAGAUAUCUUCUAUUAUAACCGGCUCUGACCUAGACAAUUGGAUCUCUGUCUAGUUAAACCCUUUAAAUGCUUUUUGCAUUGUACUGUAGUAACUGAAGUAUUUAUAGCAGUCAGCAUGCUGACUGCAUAUAUUGCUAAA
Chelonia mydas (Green sea turtle) is the source of this 1460-nucleotide long non-coding RNA. RefSeq lists it as uncharacterized. The transcript has 4 exons. Lineage: Eukaryota; Metazoa; Chordata; Testudines; Cheloniidae. The record is from RefSeq and is a predicted model, not a curated record.